RNAcentral lists this ribosomal RNA (508 nucleotides) under uncultured Bradyrhizobium sp. RNAcentral's name for it is "bacterial SSU rRNA". It matches the Rfam family "Bacterial small subunit ribosomal RNA", at positions 994 to 1503 of the family's 1533-position model. Lineage: Bacteria; Pseudomonadati; Pseudomonadota; Alphaproteobacteria; Hyphomicrobiales; Nitrobacteraceae. The record is from RNAcentral.
UUCAGAGACGGGAGUCCUUCAGUUCGGCUGGACCGGAGACAGGUGCUGCAUGGCUGUCGUCAGCUCGUGUCGUGAGAUGUUGGGUUAAGUCCCGCAACGAGCGCAACCCCCGUCCUUAGUUGCUACCAUUUAGUUGAGCACUCUAAGGAGACUGCCGGUGAUAAGCCGCGAGGAAGGUGGGGAUGACGUCAAGUCCUCAUGGCCCUUACGGGCUGGGCUACACACGUGCUACAAUGGCGGUGACAAUGGGACGCUAAGGGGCAACCCUUCGCAAAUCUCAAAAAGCCGUCUCAGUUCGGAUUGGGCUCUGCAACUCGAGCCCAUGAAGUUGGAAUCGCUAGUAAUCGUGGAUCAGCAUGCCACGGUGAAUACGUUCCCGGGCCUUGUACACACCGCCCGUCACACCAUGGGAGUUGGUUUUACCUGAAGACGGUGCGCUAACCCGCAAGGGAGGCAGCCGGCCACGGUAGGGUCAGCGACUGGGGUGAAGUCGUAACAAGGUAGCCGU